Microcebus murinus (gray mouse lemur) is the source of this 3194-nucleotide non-coding RNA. The record is from RefSeq and is a predicted model, not a curated record. Lineage: Eukaryota; Metazoa; Chordata; Mammalia; Primates; Cheirogaleidae.
AAUGGUAGCUCCCUUCAUUGCCCUUCUCCGUGGAAACAAGAUCUAACAGGAAAGAAGUUCCGGAGGCUCAGAGAAGCCCUAAGGAGGGGUACGGUGGAGCCCAAAGGAGGUGGGUGAGCGGGCGGCGGCUGAGCCCUGCAGCCUUGGGGCGAGAUGACGCCAUGGGGUCCCCAGGCAGCAGCGACUGUGGGUGCAGCACUGAGCACUUCCAGCAUCUCAACUUAGAAAGCUGUGGCCUUUUCUCUGAAAAGAAAAGACUGUGGCUGCUGGCGACCUUGGUUGCCUGCUGUGCUUCACAAGACAAGACGGAAGAGACACCCAGGGGACGUGAGGGGGCUCCAGAAUGAGAAAGCGGCCCUGCACCAGCCCCAGCCCCUAGCAUGGCAGAGUUUGGAAACUGAGGCUCUGGUGAAUGAAGUGAGUUACCCAAGGUCAUCUCAGAGAGCCUCCUUAACAUGAAGGAGUUGACAGAAGAUGGACAGAAAGGGAAAGGAGAUGGUGCCUGCUGGUGCGGCGUGUGAACUCUAAGCCAAGAUGCAAACUUCUGUUGUCACUUUUCCAAGAGGAAACAGAGGCUUUCAGUGCCCACCUCUCCUCCCCUCACCCCAUCCUCCUGCGUCUACAACUGCAGAUGACAAGAGGCCCUGGCCAGGCAAGUGGAAGCCCCUGAAGGCUGUGACACAAGGAGUUCACCGGAGUGCUCAUCUACUUCCUUCUUUCAUGCAAAUGCAGUCUGACCUGCCCUCCCGACUGCAGGUCCCCCAGGUACACAGGGAUCAAAGUAAGUGGUGUCUCCCUGCUACCAAGCAUUCUCUUGAUGAAUUGGGCAGAUCACUUUUAUUUCCUUGAGCCCCAAACUAGGAAAUACCAGCAUUAUUGACCUUUGUCACCAAAUGGGUGUGACUUACUUUAAAGCAGUAAAUAUGUUUGUGUAUGUGUGGAGGGGGUGGACAGGGGCUUUCCUGUCCAUGGACCCCUGUCUAUGCCCCUUACCGUGUAUCCAGCAGUUACAUAUGCAGUCCCAGGUGGUCACACUUGGUCAGCAUGCCAACUCUGUCAUUUUGGGACCACUCAACUGCUUGGAUCCUCAGUUUUCCUACCUGUGAAAUGAGCAUGAUCACAUUUCCUUUGUAGCCGUGUGAAUGAAAAGGGACAAUACAUAGAGCCAGCACACAGUAAGGACACAAUACAUGAUAUUACUGUUAUCUUUGUUAAUAUCAGUAGAAUAACUGCCGGGACUUGAGACUCCAUCGGAACUGUAAGCUCACUCCAUGCUCUGCCUCGACACACUCAAAAGGCCUCAGGGCCAACACCCUUUCAUUUCCAGGCACACGCAGUGCCCCCUUCCAAAGUUCCACAGUUUGAGAAGGAAAGAACUGCCAAAGAAAAUCCAACGGCAUGGUUUUCCUAUCAAAGAGAAAAAGAAAGAAUGCAAAACAGUUGCCGGAACACACCAUUUUUUGUCCAGGGACUUCCUAAAAGUCGAAGGGCCUUUCCACAGUACUCCGGGCCCAUGCUUGCCACCAGGCCAUUUCCCAGCAGAUGCGGCUGGGCUGGUGUCCCCUGCCAGAUUCUGGGGAUAGGGCAGGGAAGGCCUGGCCAGGUACAGGCGUGCCCAAGGCCUUAUCUUCCGGGCCUCGCUGGCCUGCAGCGAAGGCAGAGCAGGCUUUGGGCUGCACCCAGCAUUCCCAGGAAGAAGCCCUGUUCUCCUCCAGAGCAGAGACGAAGGCUCCCCCAGCACCCCGGGCCUCCUGCCGCCAUGCUCCUCGCAGAGAUCAGCUCUUGCCAGUGGGCCAAAGCCCCUUUUCCUCACCGUGCCUCCCGGCCUGUUCUGCUCUCUCAUCUGGGCAGAGCCCAGCCUUCAUCCAACGCCCUCCCCGCGUGCUGGGGAAGGACACCCGAUCCUGCUGGUGCGGCAGGGACAAGGUGCUGGACCCAUCGCUGGAGCUCCCUGAGGGCGGGGGACGCUCAGAUUCAUCUGCGAUGGCAGCUGCCAACACCCCCCUCCUGGCACACAGUAGGUGCCCAAAACCGAGAGCUAGUUAAGCAGCUUAUCCGGUCCUGGAGCAAUUAGAUGAGGGAAGCAGAAGAGAUCAGCCCUCACUAAGUAGAAGCCAGCGCUAGGAGUAAUAUUAUCUCUUUUAAUCCUCAUGCUAACCCUGCAAAGUAGGUCUUCUUAGACCCACUUCAUAGACAGACAAACUGAGGCUUAGAAAUAACUUUACCAAAGUUCCAGGGGUAGAAAGUGACAGCACUGGAACUGGAACUAGGUUCAUCUGACUCUCUCCCGUGGUAGCCCCUGCCUCUCAGGAAAGGGGAUGUGAGUGUCCACGCUGACAGGCCUUCAGCCUGCACACCUGGCCCACAGGUGCACCCAGCAAUGUGCCCGGCAUGGGAAGGGAGAAUAAGAACUCUACACCCUCCACGGUCCCCCAUUCUGACUGGGAAGACAAUGCAGGGAGAAAAAGCAGAGUGAGGAUAACAGGAAGUGGCGUUGAGGAGCUUGGGGCGGGCGGGGCAGAGGACACGGCCUGACUGUGAUCGGUGAGUUAGCACAAAAGGGCUCUGGACAUCCAGGGCCACACAAAUGCCAGGUGCUAACUCCCCUCAUCUUCUCGGGAGUCAGGAAAAGUCCACACAGGAGGGGCUUCUAAAAUCCAGAUGGAUUGAGGGAGUAAAGGAAUAAUUUUAAAAAGUAGUGCUGCCAUUUAUAAAUUGCCUACACUGUCCAGAUACUCUUCUGGGCACUGUAGAUACAUAAUUGUAUUUAAUCCUCACAAAACUGCAAGAGACAAGAGUUAUAAUUCCCAUUUUACAGAUGAGAAAAUUGAGGUUCAGGUCAGGGAAAUGACCACAUAGCUGCUAAGCGGCAGAGUCAGAAUUUGCACUCAUGUCUGACUGUUUCCAAUGACUGUUCAGCUCAUGAGCCUCAAAAACUACAGGUGCCAAGUAGGUUACACAAAUGAGGCUAGCAGGGUGGGAGUAAAAGGAAGAGGUGGAGACGGCAGGAAACCCAAGCGCACGGGCUCUGUCUAAAGGGGCAGCUUCUCCCCAGCUUCAGGCAAUGCUUGCCAUUUGAGAAUGCAGACCCUGUGCGGCCAGAUCUUUCCAUUUCAAGAUAAGCUAUAAAUAAUUUCUGUUUCUGGGUGUAAAAUCAGACUUUUAAAUGUCAGAGAAUAAUUUUUAAAUUGUUU